GACGAACGCUGGCGGCGUGCUUAACACAUGCAAGUCGAACGGAGUGGCGAACGGGUGAGUAACACGUGGGUGACCUGCCCUGCACUUCGGGAUAAGCCUGGGAAAAUGGGUCUAAUACCGGAUAGUGUGGACUGGGCCCGCGCCCUCUUAGCUUGUUGGUGGGGUAAUGGCCUACCAAGGCGGCGACGGGUAGCGGGCCUGAGAGGGUGGACGGCCACAUUGGGACUGAGACGCGGGCCAGAUUCCUACGGGGGGCAGCAGGUGCGAAUAUUGCUCAAUGGGUGUAAGCCUGAUGCAGCGACGCCGCGUGGGGUAUGACGGCCUUCGGGUUGUAAACUCCUUUCACCAUCGACGCGGUAGAUGGAGAAGAAGCACCGGCUAACUACGUGCCAGCAGCCGCGGUAAUAC
Molecule: ribosomal RNA, 408 nt
Filed under: uncultured bacterium
Lineage: Bacteria
Description: partial 16S ribosomal RNA
Rfam family: Bacterial small subunit ribosomal RNA
Source: RNAcentral